GUCUGUCGCGUCUGCUGUGAAAACUCAGGGCUCAACCCUGAGCUGGCAGUGGGUACGGGCAGGCUAGAGUGCAGUAGGGGAGACUGGAAUUCCUGGUGUAGCGGUGAAAUGCGCAGAUAUCAGGAGGAACACCGGUGGCGAAGGCGGGUCUCUGGGCUGUUACUGACGCUGAGGAGCGAAAGCGUGGGGAGCGAACAGGAUUAGAUACCCUGGUAGUCCACGCCGUAAACGUUGGGCGCUAGGUGUGGGUCCCAUUCCACGGGGUCUGUGCCGCAGCUAACGCAUUAAGCGCCCCGCCUGGGGGGUACGGCCGCAAGGCUAAAACUCAAAGGAAUUGACGGGGCCCCGCACAAGCGGCGGAGCAUGCGGAUUAAUUCGAUGCAACGCGAAGAACCUUACCAAGGCUUGACAUGCACGGUAAUCCUCCAGAGAUGGGGGGUCCGCAAGGGAUCGUGCACAGGUGGUGCAUGGUUGUCGUCAGCUCGUGUCGUGAGAUGUUGGGUUAAGUCCCGCAACGAGCGCAACCCUCGUUCCAUGUUGCCAGCGCGUAGUGGCGGGGACUCAUGGGAGACUGCCGGGGUCAACUCGGAGGAAGGUGGGGAUGACGUCAAAUCAUCAUGCCCCUUAUGUCUUGGGCUUCACGCAUGCUACAAUGGCCAGUACAAUGGGUUGCGAGACCGUGAGGUGGAGCGAAUCCCAAAAAGCUGGUCUCAGUUCGGAUCGGGGUCUGCAACUCGACCCCGUGAAGUCGGAGUCGCU
RNAcentral lists this ribosomal RNA (759 nucleotides) under uncultured Actinomycetes bacterium. Its description in RNAcentral is "bacterial SSU rRNA". It matches the Rfam family "Bacterial small subunit ribosomal RNA", at positions 578 to 1336 of the family's 1533-position model. Lineage: Bacteria; Bacillati; Actinomycetota; Actinomycetes. The record is from RNAcentral.